GGCCCCAUAGUUUAAUAGAACACUAAAUUGCAGCUUUAGACGUGUAGAAAUACUGGCGCCU
This 61-nucleotide transfer RNA is filed under the name Cryptonome barbada. RNAcentral's name for it is "tRNA-Cys". The record is from RNAcentral. Lineage: Eukaryota; Metazoa; Annelida; Polychaeta; Eunicida; Amphinomidae.